ACACUCCUGCGGGAGGCAGCAGUGGGGAAUUUUACGCAAUGGGGGAAACCCUGACGUAGCGACACCGCGUGAGCGAAGAAGCCCUUUGGGGUGUAAAGCUCUGUCAGCUGGAACGAAAACAAUGACGGUACCAGCAGAGGAAGCAUCGGCUAACUACGUGCCAGCAGCCGCGGUAAGACGUAGGAUGCGAGCGUUGUCCGGAUCUAUUGGGCGUAAAGAGUUCGUAGGUGGUUUGUUAAGUUUGGUGUUAAAGAUCGGGGCUCAACCCUGGGACUGCACUGAAUACUGGCAGACUCGAGUGUGGUAGAGGCUAGUGGAAUUCCCAGUGUAGCGGUGAAAUGCGUAGAUAUUGGGAAGAACACCGGUGGCGUAGGCGACUAGCUGGGCCAUAACUGACGCUGAGGAACGAAAGCCAGGGGAGCGAAUGGGAUUAGAAACCCCUGUAGUCCC
RNAcentral lists this ribosomal RNA (450 nucleotides) under uncultured organism. RNAcentral's name for it is "partial 16S ribosomal RNA". It matches the Rfam family "Bacterial small subunit ribosomal RNA", at positions 333 to 797 of the family's 1533-position model. The record is from RNAcentral.